GGAAGUAAAGUCGUAACAAGGUUUCCGUAGGUGAACCUGCGGAAGGAUCAUUAUUGAAAUAAACCUGAUGGGUUGUUGCUGGUUCUCUAGGGAGCAUGUGCACGCCUUGUCAUCUUUAUAUCUCCACCUGUGCACUUUUUGUAGGCCUUUCAGGCCUAUGUUGCUUCAUUUACCCCAAUGUAUGUUAAUAGAAUGUUGUGCCUAUAUAAUACAUACAACUUUCAGCAACGGAUCUCUUGGCUCUC
Molecule: unclassified non-coding RNA, 245 nt
Filed under: plant metagenome
Description: partial contains small subunit ribosomal RNA, internal transcribed spacer 1, and 5.8S ribosomal RNA
Rfam family: Eukaryotic small subunit ribosomal RNA (bases 1-53)
Source: RNAcentral